GUUAAUGAACUUUUUACUUAUUAAGAUUUUGCCAUAAUCAGCACAUACCUUUUUAACUUUCUAAUGUAUAAUAAAAAUGUAAUGAAAUUGCAUAUUUCAUUAUGGUUUUGAUUUUAAAAUGUUCUAAUACUGAAUAGUGUAGAGAAAUAAAACAAUUUAGAUACAUGACUUUGGGUAACUUACUAUUACUGGGUCUUUCUCACACAGGGAUGACCACAUGUAAGAAAGUUAACACUUAUUUAGGUAUAUAUCAGGCUGUAAUAAACUUUAUUUACAUUAAUUCCUGAAUUUAAAUUUAUCAUGUUUUUUAUAAUGAUUUCAAUAUUAUAGAAAUUUCUUUCUAUAAUUGUGAUGUCUUGAGUGUGAGAUGUUCAGUCCUGACCCAAAUACUGUCUUGUUGACUGACUCAUUCACCUGGUUUACUUUCUGUGUUAAAGUCAGCUGUAAACCUAAUAGCUACAUUUGUUUGUCAUUCUGUAAGAGCUGGACCAUAACCCACCAACCAAUCAUAUUAGUUAAGAUACUAAACAAUGAGAACAUUAUUAAUAAAAAUUUUAUUAAUGUAAACUAAACAAUCAAGAAGAAUCUUAAGAAAAUACAAAAUAGGAACAGAAAUGCUAAAAUCUUGCAUACAAUAAUUAUUAAGUUGUAUAGUUGCUUUUAUCAAACUUUUCUUCAUAUUGUCAAAAUGAAGAUAUAGUUUAAUGAAAAUAACAAUUCCUAGAUGAAGAUAAUAUUUCACCACUGAGGACAAUUCAAAUUCCACAAUUUUUACAUAAGAUAAUGACAACAAUGCUCAUAAUGCAGCUGGACUCAUUUUAACUUGCUCCAUCUACAGCACCAGUGGUUGUCCUAUUUAUUCAGUUGGUCAUUUACUCAAUUAUCAAAUGGAAAUCUCCUUGUACAACCUUCAACAAAAUUUUCUCCUUUAUUUAAAAA
This 939-nucleotide long non-coding RNA is filed under the name Androctonus crassicauda. The record is from RNAcentral. Lineage: Eukaryota; Metazoa; Arthropoda; Arachnida; Scorpiones; Buthidae.